UUGGAGGGCAAGUCUGGUGCCAGCAGCCGCGGUAAUUCCAGCUCCAAUAGCGUAUAUUAAAGUUGUUGCAGUUAAAAAGCUCGUAGUUGAAUUUCGGGGUUAGUAGGUUGGUCAUGCCUCCGGUAUGUACUGGCCUCACUGAUUCCUCCUUCCUGAUGAGCCGUAAUGCCAUUAAUUUGGUGUUGCGAGGAAUCUGGACUGUUACUUUGAAAAAAUUAGAGUGUUUAAAGCAGGC
RNAcentral lists this ribosomal RNA (235 nucleotides) under uncultured Glomus. RNAcentral describes it as "partial 18S ribosomal RNA". It matches the Rfam family "Eukaryotic small subunit ribosomal RNA", at positions 548 to 785 of the family's 1831-position model. The record is from RNAcentral. Lineage: Eukaryota; Fungi; Glomeromycota; Glomeromycetes; Glomerales; Glomeraceae.